Molecule: long non-coding RNA, 687 nt
Filed under: Cyanistes caeruleus (blue tit)
Lineage: Eukaryota; Metazoa; Chordata; Aves; Passeriformes; Paridae
Description: lncRNA (ENSCCEG00000019927.1)
Source: RNAcentral
UGGUUUGAUGAGACCUGUUUGGCAAGGUGGUAAUUAAAUCCUAACAGGCAGCAGCUGACCAGGAGUCACCUUGGGGCAAUGGGCUGGCUGAGGCCUCAGUAAUCGGGGUUGCAGGACUGGAGAGAAGUUCAGUGUUAGGAGAAGAGGAUAUAAACAGAGUGAAGCCCCACAGAGAUGAAACAAAGACUGCAGAUAUGAAAACUCUGAGAAACCUCCUUCUCCCUCAGUUGCACUGUUUGCAAGGCUUCCUGCUCCCUGGAAAACCACAUUCUCUCCUGCCUUGAUGAUACCAUGGGCUUUGUGGCUAUGGACAAGCACACUAAUGGUGUAGCCUUGGGGCAAGAUGUACUUGAGAUUUCAUGGACAGCUUACACUGUCAUAGAUGGAUGAAGAGGACAUAGCAAGCAUUUAUAUCUUAUCUCCAUGGGUUUGUAAACAUGGCCAAUAUUGUAUUUCCUGAAGUAGAAUCUUAGUCACCAUAGUUGCUUAUACAUAUUUUUUUAACCAUAGUUGCUCACAAUUUUUUAUCUCCAUGUGAGGUCAAGACCUUUGCUAGCAUAAAUUGAUAUUGCCAUAUUUAAAUUAAUUGAGCUAUGUCAGUUUAUACUGUGUAGGAGCUAGCUUUCGUACAAUUUUAGUUGUUAAUUGCCAGAGCAAUUGCACAUGUCCCUAUUUAUGAAAAGUUCU